GAGUUUGAUCCUGGCUCAGAACGAACGCUGGCGGCGUGGAUAAGACAUGCAAGUCGAACGGGAUUUCAUUUGUAGCAAUACACGUGAAGUUCAGUGGCGUAAGGGUGCGUAACACGUGGGCAAUCUGCCGAGAUGUGGGGGAUAGCUCGCCGAAAGGCGAAUUAAUACCGCAUGUGGUUAGUGCUGGAUUCAGCGCGACACCAAAGCCGGGGCAACCUGGCGCAUCUUGAUGAGCCCGCGGCCUAUCAGCUAGUUGGUGAGGUAACGGCUCACCAAGGCUUUGACGGGUAGCUGGUCUGAGAGGACGACCAGCCACACUGGAACUGAGACACGGUCCAGACACCUACGGGUGGCAGCAGUCGAGAAUUUUUCUCAAUGGGGGAAACCCUGAAGGAGCGACGCCGCGUGGAGGAUGAAGGUCUUCGGAUUGUAAACUCCUGUCAUUUGGGAACAAUUGUUGGCGAUUAACUGUCGUCAGCUUGAUAGUACCAGAAGAGGAAGAGACGGCUAACUCUGUGCCAGCAGCCGCGGUAAUACAGAGGUCUCAAGCGUUGUUCGGAUUCAUUGGGCGUAAAGGGUGCGUAGGUGGCGGGGUUAGUCAGGUGUGAAAUCUCGGGGCUCAACCCCGAAACUGCACUUGAUACUGCCUUGCUAGAGUACUGGAGAGGAGAUUGGAAUUUACGGUGUAGCAGUGAAAUGCGUAGAUAUCGUAAGGAAGACCAGUGGCGAAGGCGAAUCUCUGGACAGUUACUGACACUGAGGCACGAAGGCCAGGGGAGCAAACGGGAUUAGAUACCCCGGUAGUCCUGGCAGUAAACGGUGCGCGUUUGGUGUGGGAGGAUUCGACCCCUUCUGUGCCGGAGCUA
This 866-nucleotide ribosomal RNA is filed under the name uncultured Verrucomicrobiota bacterium. RNAcentral describes it as "bacterial SSU rRNA". It matches the Rfam family "Bacterial small subunit ribosomal RNA", at positions 9 to 854 of the family's 1533-position model. Lineage: Bacteria; Pseudomonadati; Verrucomicrobiota. The record is from RNAcentral.